CACGUAGGCACCAAGCGUUGUCCGGAUUUAUUGGGCGUAAAGAGCUCGUAGGCGGUUCAGUAAGUCAGGUGUGAAAUCUUUGGGCUUAACCCAAAGCGUGCACUUGAUACUGCUGUGACUUGAGUUCGGGUAGGGGAGUGGGGAAUUCCUAGUGUAGCGGUGGAAAUGCGCAGAUAUUAGGAGGAACACCGGUGGCGAAGGCGGGUCUCUGGGCCGAUACUGACGCUGAGGAGCGGAAGGCCAGGGGAGCAAACGGG
This 257-nucleotide ribosomal RNA is filed under the name uncultured bacterium. RNAcentral describes it as "partial 16S ribosomal RNA". It matches the Rfam family "Bacterial small subunit ribosomal RNA", at positions 524 to 776 of the family's 1533-position model. The record is from RNAcentral.